This 1117-nucleotide ribosomal RNA is filed under the name uncultured bacterium. RNAcentral's name for it is "bacterial SSU rRNA". It matches the Rfam family "Bacterial small subunit ribosomal RNA", at positions 41 to 1126 of the family's 1533-position model. The record is from RNAcentral.
UUCAGGCCUAACACAUGCAAGUCGAACGAGAAAGGCCCCUUCGGGGGACGAGUAGAGUGGCGCACGGGUGAGUAACGCGUAGGUAAUCUACCCUUAUACCUGGGAUAACAUUGGGAAACUGGUGCUAAUACCGGAUACACUUCUUUACUGCGGGGUAAAGGAGGAAAGGUGACCUCUUGGUCAAAGUUACCGUAUAGGGAUGAGCCUGCGUACCAUUAGCUAGUAGGUGGGGUAACGGCCCACCUAGGCGACGAUGGUUAGCGGGUCUGAGAGGAUGAUCCGCCACACUGGAACUGGAACACGGACCAGACUCCUACGGGAGGCAGCAGUGAGGAAUAUUGCGCAAUGGGGGAAACCCUGACGCAGCGACGCCGCGUGAGUGAGGAAGGCCUUCGGGUCGUAAAGCUCUGUCAGAAGGGAAGAAGUGUUAUACGGUUAAUACCCGUAUAAUUUGACGGUACCUUCAGAGGAAGCACCGGCUAACUCCGUGCCAGCAGCCGCGGUAAUACGGAGGGUGCGAGCGUUGUUCGGAAUUACUGGGCGUAAAGGGCGCGUAGGCGGCUUUAUAAGUCAGAUGUGAAAGCCCACGGCUUAACUGUGGAAGUGCAUUUGAAACUGUGAAGCUUGAGUAUCGGAGGGGAGUGUGGAAUUCCCGGUGUAGAGGUGAAAUUCGUAGAGAUCGGGAGGAACACCGGUGGCGAAGGCGACACUCUGGACGAAUACUGACGCUGAGGCGCGAAAGCGUGGGGAGCAAACAGGAUUAGAUACCCUGGUAGUCCACGCCGUAAACGAUGUGAACUAGAGGUAGGAGGUGUUGAUCCCUUCUGUCUCGCAGCUAACGCAUUAAGUUCACCGCCUGGGGAGUACGGUCGCAAGAUUAAAACUCAAAGGAAUUGACGGGGGCCCGCACAAGCGGUGGAGUAUGUGGUUUAAUUCGACGCAACGCGAAGAACCUUACCUGGGCUUGACAUCCCGAGAAUCUUCUGGAAACAGGAGAGUGCGUCAUUAGAUGAACUUGGUGACAGGUGCUGCAUGGCUGUCGUCAGCUCGUGUCCGUGAGAUGUUGGGNUUAAGUCCCGCAACAAGCGCAACCCCUUGCCUUUAGUUGCCAGCAGUU